GUUUCAUCCGAGCGCAGGAUGUCGUGACAUUAUAGCGCCACAUGAAUAUUUUACACACUGCGUAGAGAUGAGAUCCGUCGCUCGCAAACACGCUGCUCUUCCUGUAAAGCGCUCUGUAACUCAGGAGACUUCAUUCACUUCUCAGGGUUCUUGGUCCAGCUUUCAUGUGCACAGCUGCUCACCUUAUAGCCAGCAGUAUACCCCCGGCAGCCCCCCUCUGCCCCGGACCGUCUGCAGGGUCCCACCGGACGCACAAACACACAGGCUCUCAUACAGCUGACCAGAAUCUAUUAAAGCCGCCGGAGGUCUGCGGUGAUGCCCGUGACCCGAGCACCUGUCCUCUCGCGC
This 348-nucleotide long non-coding RNA is filed under the name Sinocyclocheilus anshuiensis. RNAcentral's name for it is "lncRNA (ENSSANG00000012036.1)". Lineage: Eukaryota; Metazoa; Chordata; Actinopteri; Cypriniformes; Cyprinidae. The record is from RNAcentral.